Molecule: ribosomal RNA, 468 nt
Filed under: uncultured bacterium
Lineage: Bacteria
Description: partial 16S ribosomal RNA
Rfam family: Bacterial small subunit ribosomal RNA
Source: RNAcentral
GACAAACGCUGGCGGCGUGCUUAACACAUGCAAGUCGAACGGAAAGGCCCUGCUUUUGUGGGGUGCUCGAGUGGCGAACGGGUGAGUAACACGUGAGUAACCUGCCCUUGACUUUGGGAUAACUUCAGGAAACUGGGGCUAAUACCGGAUAGGAGCUCCUGCUGCAUGGUGGGGGUUGGAAAGUUUCGGCGGUUGGGGAUGGACUCGCGGCUUAUCAGCUUGUUGGUGGGGUAGUGGCUUACCAAGGCUUUGUCGGGUAGCCGGCCUGAGAGGGUGACCGGCCACAUUGGGACUGAGAUACGGCCCAGACUCCUACGGGAGGCAGCAGUGGGGAAUAUUGCACAAUGGGCGGAAGCCUGAUGCAGCAACGCCGCGUGCGGGAUGACGGCCUUCGGGUUGUAAACCGCUUUCGCCUGUGACGAAGCGUGAGUGACGGUAAUGGGUAAAGAAGCACCGGCUAACUACGUG